GUGCUUUCUUCAGCUGCACAUAUACUAAAAUUAGAUCGACACAGAGAUUAGUAUGACCCCUGCACAAGGAUAACAUGCAAAUUCAUAAAGUGUUCCAUAUUUAA
Molecule: small nuclear RNA, 104 nt
Organism: Peromyscus leucopus (white-footed mouse)
Lineage: Eukaryota; Metazoa; Chordata; Mammalia; Rodentia; Cricetidae
Source: RefSeq, a predicted model, not a curated record